Mustela erminea (ermine) is the source of this 377-nucleotide long non-coding RNA. RefSeq lists it as uncharacterized. The transcript is spliced from 3 exons. Lineage: Eukaryota; Metazoa; Chordata; Mammalia; Carnivora; Mustelidae. The record is from RefSeq and is a predicted model, not a curated record.
CUCCAGGCUUUCAAGAAGGACACCUCUACCAGGCAACAGCUCCUGCAGCCAUUUUUCUAAGAAGGUGUGUCGAAUAUCCGGGUGCCUCUUCUAUGUGAGCACUCAGGAGCCCGCUCUUCCAGGUCUACCUACAGCACUUCCAUGGGAGCCUUGCCGAGAUCCAGGCAGAAGAGACUGUGCUCUCUAACGUGCUCCUGUGCUUUGCAUGUGCCUCUGUGAUGAAGCUCCCGCAUCAGCCCGGGAGGACUGGCAUCUCACGUGGAUCUGUGGUAUUAUAGUAUGGUACGUUCCUUCUCCAGGUGUGAGCUCACUGGGGACUGGGACAUGGGUCAUUUAUGCCUCAUGCCUCCUGGGGGACUGAACGAGGGAAUCAAUAA